Molecule: long non-coding RNA, 332 nt
Organism: Bradysia coprophila
Lineage: Eukaryota; Metazoa; Arthropoda; Insecta; Diptera; Sciaridae
Source: RefSeq, a predicted model, not a curated record
UGAUUUUUUUUUUUAACUUUUGAUUUUUCUUUUGAGUUUUUUCUCAGUACACUACAUCAAUCUGGACAAUUCCAGUGGCUAUCGAAACCUUAUAUGUUCUGGCACCAAACGAUGAGGCCACUUUUUUCAAAAAUAAUCCGAAUAAAAAGUUAUCAUCAAAAAUGUAUUUCAUAGGGGGUCGGAGUGUAGAUUGCUCUUAAAUUAUUGUAGUGUUGUACUAAUGUCGGCUUUGGAGAGACCUACAAGUAGAGUAUACGCCCUGGCUGGUGCGAGACCAUCGACAAGAAUUAUAUCCUUCAGAGCAUAAUAUUUGGGAACCAAUUUUCAAAAGU